CGUAGGGUGCGAGCGUUAAUCGGAAUUACUGGGCGUAAAGCGUGCGCAGGCGGUUUUGUAAGACAGAUGUGAAAUCCCCGGGCUCAACCUGGGACCUGCAUUUGUGACUGCAAGGCUAGAGUACGGUAGAGGGGGAUGGAAUUCCGCGUGUAGCAGUGAAAUGCGUAGAUAUGCGGAGGAACACCGAUGGCGAAGGCAAUCCCCUGGACCUGUACUGACGCUCAUGCACGUAAGCGUGGGGAGCAAACAGGAUUAGAUACCCUGGUAGUCCACGCCCUAAACGAUGUCAACUGGUUGUUGGGUCUUCACUGACUCAGUAACGAAGCUAACGCGUGAAGUUGACCGCCUGGGGAGUACGGCCGCAAGGUUAG
RNAcentral lists this ribosomal RNA (371 nucleotides) under uncultured organism. RNAcentral's name for it is "bacterial SSU rRNA". It matches the Rfam family "Bacterial small subunit ribosomal RNA", at positions 526 to 897 of the family's 1533-position model. The record is from RNAcentral.